This is a non-coding RNA of Triticum aestivum (bread wheat), 135 nucleotides long. The record is from Rfam. NCBI's taxonomy places the organism in Eukaryota, Viridiplantae, Streptophyta, Magnoliopsida, Poales, Poaceae.
UUUCUACUCCCUCCGUCCGAAAAUACUUGUCAUCAAAAUGGAUAAAAAGAGAUGUAUCUAAAACUAAAAUACGUCUAGAUACAUUUCCUUUUAUCCAUUUUGAUGACAAGUAUUUCCGGACGGAGGGAGUAUUUU